RNAcentral lists this ribosomal RNA (520 nucleotides) under uncultured bacterium. RNAcentral's name for it is "partial 16S ribosomal RNA". It matches the Rfam family "Bacterial small subunit ribosomal RNA", at positions 28 to 507 of the family's 1533-position model. The record is from RNAcentral.
GACGAACGCUGGCGGCGUGCCUAAUACAUGCAAGUCGAACGCACUCUCGUUUAGAUUGAAGGAGUUUGCUCCUGAUUGAUAAACAUUUGAGUGAGUGGCGGACGGGUGAGUAACACGUGGGUAACCUGCCCUAAAGUGGGGGAUAACAUUUGGAAACAGAUGCUAAUACCGCAUAAAACCUAACACCGCAUGGUGUAGGGUUGAAAGAUGGUUUCGGCUAUCACUUUAGGAUGGACCCGCGGUGCAUUAGUUAGUUGGUGAGGUAAAGGCUCACCAAGACCGUGAUGCAUAGCCGACCUGAGAGGGUAAUCGGCCACACUGUGACUGAGACACGGCCCAGACUCCUACGGGAGGCAGCAGUAGGGAAUCUUCCACAAUGGACGAAAGUCUGAUGGAGCAACGCCGCGUGAGUGAAGAAGGUUUUCGGAUCGUAAAACUCUGUUGUUGGAGAAGAAUGUAUCUGAUAGUAACUGAUCAGGUAGUGACGGUAUCCAACCAGAAAGCCACGGCUAACUACGUG